UCGGCGACCGACGGGAGUCGAACGGGCAGAGCGGAAACUGGAGGAAGGGCCGUGAGUGUUGGUCGAUCGUGGCUCACUGUGCUGUGUGCGCACAGUUUGCUCGUGGGAUUCGCGGAUUUGCCUCGUGGGAGGUAAAGGCCGAUUCUUCCUUUGUGGGUCGACGGGACGAGCGCAGUCGUGGUGGAAAGGUGUAGAAAAAUUUGGGUUAAGGAUUAUUUAUUCGAGUCGCGAGCGGUUUAAGGUUGGAUGAAGGGAGGUAGGAAGGGGGGAGGAUGUUAAAUUGCUUAUUGCUCGAGUAAACGGGAGCCAAAUGAUGUAUUUUUAUGCCAAUUUUUAUGUUUGUUUUGGAAUCUAAAAUUGAGCUUCGAGAAUGAGCUUCGUAUUACUUCGAACGUAUUAAUAUCCUGUUUAUUAGAGAUAUCCACUUUCUAUCUAGGUUAAAAUGGUCUCGUAAUUUGUUGCUGUCUCCACCAUUGUCCUUUGUAUAUUCUUCCGGAAAAUUGUUAUAUGCGAUUUUCUUUCCAGAGUUCUGGGGAUCUUGGAUACGAUUUAUACAUCGAACGAUUCGAUGAGAUACUAUUUCUAGCAGGGAUUUUUAAGUAGAGUCAGAAAUUUCGUAUCUAGGAUCAAUGUGCAUAACGCAUUCCUCCUCGUUGAUAUAAAAAACAAAAAUGAUAAAAUCGGUUCAGUUUUUCUAUCCCGUAUAUUCUAUCUUCGUCUGAAAUUCUCUAGAUUUCGAUUCUAGAUUUUAAAUUGCUCGUUUCUAAGAUAAUUCACGGCUACCAUACCGUUUCGACUACCGUCACUUUGACUUCCGUUCAUCACGUUUCAUAAUACAUUCGAGGGGGGAUUCGUCGAUCGCGUCGUUCGCAAAGGGGCCGUCUCAUCGAAUACUUGACGUCGUUAGCCGAAUAUUCGUAUCCGCGUGUACGAGACGUUUUCUUAGCUAUUUGGAAACCGACGUCCAGAUCUGUCUGUUAGAUAUGUUUUUAAACGCGGCUGGCCAACGUGAGCCGGUUACAAAAGAGAAACUUUGUGGACAAACGGCGCACACUUUCUUCUAUCGCGACCACGUAUUCCCGGUAUCAGGAUCUAGACUCGUCGAAUCACUAGACGGAAUUCUUCCAACCGUGGUGUCCAGUGACUAGACACAGAGGCUGAAUUUUUCGAGGGAUACAGAUUAGAUCGCAUUGGACCGAGAGAGGCAAGAAUUAGAGGACACAUUGGAGCGUGACCUAUUUGAUCCAUUCCAUCGGAGCGCACCAAGUGCAAUUCGGGUCGCUACGGUCGACCAAUGCACUCGACCCACUCGAGAUACGAACGAGCCAUGUCCGGUCCAUCUGCCACGAAUCCUUAAAUAAACGACCCGUGAAUCCAGCGGCCGUGUUAAAAAUAUUUCAAGUCCUUCUAGAAGUUCGUUUCUUCUAUGGAAAAGUUCACGAGAUGCCAAGGAUGGUUGGCUGCGGUGUCGGGUGGAAAGGUCAACGUUGAAAAGUUCACCUCUUCACAGAAAUCUCUCAAAUUAUUAAGAAAUUGAUUUCUACAAGUUUGUAAGCUUUAUGGCGCACGGAUUUGGAAAAAGGAUCUCAAAAGUUAAGGAAGAAUCAUAUCAUUCGAUUUCCAUUUCCUAAAACGAAUGUUCCUAAAAUUCUAUCGAGAAUAUCCGAAUCAAACGCAUUGCACAGGUUAAACCACGCAAUUUAAACAAAAAAUUAUCAAAAAUUUAAAAAAAUUUCACGACCAUAGACCGAGACCAACUAUAAGUAAUAUAUAUCUUUUUGAUUAAUUCAAUUUCCUUAAUUAAUCCCAAACUUAAAUCAUCAUCCUCUUUCAACCGUGUAUACGUACACAGUUUACCGCUAUCCUCGUUCUAAACCUACUUGCUCGCGUGCCGAUCGUUGCCUCGUAACAAGUCAGCCAAUCGUUCCCAAACGCAAAUUACCGAUCAGACCGGGAUUUAACCGAGAUUGAUACCGUUCUCUCUCUCUCUGGCCGGCCAAUUAAUUCCCAUCCAUUAAUGCCGUAAACGAUUUUCCAUUUAAUUGGGGCACCUGGACGCCCCCCGUGGCGGCGUCGAAAUUUUCAAACACCGAUUCAUCCAUCACCGGGCGCGGAAACGAGUGGGUCCAGCUUCGCUCUUUGCACUCGAGAGAAGACCGGAACGAGUCGUGUCCGGUCCCGAUGUAAUCCGUAAAUAGACGGAGAUGGUUGCCAAACCGGCGACCGGUGGAUUAUAGGCGAAGGGGGUACCGCGACAUCAACACGGA
This 2267-nucleotide long non-coding RNA is filed under the name Apis mellifera (honey bee). Its description in RNAcentral is "uncharacterized LOC113219090". The record is from RNAcentral. Lineage: Eukaryota; Metazoa; Arthropoda; Insecta; Hymenoptera; Apidae.